UUGCCUCAAAUUAAUGAGUAAGGAUAAUAACUUCAUUGGGUGACGCCAAUGACAUUAUGGUAGAUAUUCUUUUGUCUAUCAUAAACUAUAUUUUAAUUUUUGAAGGGUAUAGGCUGGCCGAGUAGCGGGAUGCUUUAUUCUCUUCAUAAAGUGACCUGCUUUUGUUGUUGGUCUCC
Molecule: small nuclear RNA, 176 nt
Filed under: Piromyces finnis
Lineage: Eukaryota; Fungi; Neocallimastigomycota; Neocallimastigomycetes; Neocallimastigales; Neocallimastigaceae
Description: U12 minor spliceosomal RNA
Rfam family: U12 minor spliceosomal RNA
About the family: Although the U12 sequence is very divergent from that of U2, the two are functionally analogous.
Source: Rfam by way of RNAcentral